This 501-nucleotide ribosomal RNA is filed under the name uncultured bacterium. Its description in RNAcentral is "bacterial SSU rRNA". It matches the Rfam family "Bacterial small subunit ribosomal RNA", at positions 32 to 509 of the family's 1533-position model. The record is from RNAcentral.
AAUCAACGCUGGCGGCGUGCCUAACACAUGCAAGUCGAACGAGAAGGUGACUUCGGUCACUGGAUAGUGGCGUCCGGGUGAGUAACACGUAGGUAAUCUACCUUCGGGUGGGGAAUAACGUCUCGAAAGAGACGCUAAUACCGCAUAAUGCAGCGGCACCUAAUGGUGAUUAGUUGUUAAAGCGGGGGAUCUUCGGACCUCGCGCCUGAAGAGGAGCCUGCGGCAGAUUAGCUAGUUGGUGAGGUAAUGGCUCACCAAGGCUUCGAUCUGUAGCUGGUCUGAGAGGACGGCCAGCCACACUGGCACUGACACACGGGCCAGACUCCUACGGGAGGCAGCAGUGGGGAAUUUUGGGCAAUGGGCGAAAGCCUGACCCAGCAACGCCGCGUGAAGGAGGAAAUCCUUCGGGAUGUAAACUUCAUAAGUAAGGGAAGAAAGCUGCGGAUCGAAUAAGUCCGCAGUCCGACGGUACCUUACGUAAGCCACGGCUAACUACGUGCC